AACGAACGCUGGCGGCGUGCUUAACACAUGCAAGUCGAACGCGAAAGUUUUCUUCGGAAAGCGAGUAGAGUGGCGCACGGGUGAGUAACGCGUAAGUUAUCUACCUCGGCAUCUGGAAUAACUCACCGAAAGGUGUGCUAAUACCGGAUACGUUGAGUAAUCAAGAAAGGUGGCCUCUGAAUAUGCUACUGUGCUGAGAUGAGCUUGCGUACCAUUAGCUAGUUGGUAGGGUAAUGGCCUACCAAGGCAACGAUGGUUAGCGGGUCUGAGAGGAUGAUCCGCCACACUGGAACUGAAACACGGACCAGACUCCUACGGGAGGCAGCAGUGAGGAAUAUUGCGCAAUGGGGGAAACCCUGACGCAGCGACGCCGCGUGGAUGAUGAAGGCCUUCGGGUCGUAAAAUCCUGUCAGAUGGAAAGAAAUGCAU
This 429-nucleotide ribosomal RNA is filed under the name uncultured bacterium. RNAcentral describes it as "bacterial SSU rRNA". It matches the Rfam family "Bacterial small subunit ribosomal RNA", at positions 29 to 455 of the family's 1533-position model. The record is from RNAcentral.